UUCAACCACUCCUCCCACCACCGACCUUAUCCUUUCUCUACGAUCCCAAGGACGCCGCUACCGCCGUUGUUACCUUUGCGGAUCCGUCGCCAUGGAACCCCAUUGGCACCUCAUUGGGAUCUCCGCUGCCGCUGUAGUCGCCUUCGAGGAUCCAUCACUAAUCCCUGGGAGGCCAUCGCCGAUCUCAUGAAGGCCGUCGCAAAUCAUGCACGUACGUGACACUCCUGUUUCUCGCCGUUGCCAUGGAACCCCACGGACGCUUCCGCCGCCGCCAAUCCGUGGGAGGCCGCCACACAACCCCACACACAACUCCACCUUUGGCAAUCCCAGGGAGGGUGCCGCCGAUCUCAGGAAGACCGUAUAAUGUAAGAUUUUGGGCGAGCUUCAUCUACGUUGAUGGUUGUGGCUGGGCCGCUGGGUACACAAUGCAUUCACCCUUAACAAUUUCACACAUAAGGUUCAGCCAAUUCCUUUGAGGUAUUAACAAGUAGCCAAGCUUUUAGUGUCAUCUCUACUCAGGGAAAGGGUGUGAAGACUAUACAUGUCAAAUCCUCAUAUGAAAUGUUGAUCUAUUGUGCUUCUAAAAUUAUAGAUUUCCGAAUAAUUAGAUGGCCAGUUAUGCAACACAAUAUUCCCAUAGUAUUGAAAUCUUCUGUUAUACAAAGUGUCCUUCAACAAAUGACGCUUGAACAUAAUAUGGGAUAUCCCAAAUCCAUAAGAGCAGGCUAUAUCUGAUAUUUUAUCCAUACAGAGUCGUCAGACUUGAUUUAUAUUUUCCGCUACUUAUCAAUAUGAUGGCCCGAUGUAAAUAAAUGAGGCCUGGCCAUCACUUAUACUUGGGAACUACUUUUCAGUGACAGCUGUAUUGACUAAGGGAACUACGGCGGGUUUAUGCCUACCUGAACUAUAUUCGAAACUAUCAGAGUGUACAACAGAUUACAGCAGCCUUAAAGG
Molecule: long non-coding RNA, 954 nt
Organism: Triticum dicoccoides
Lineage: Eukaryota; Viridiplantae; Streptophyta; Magnoliopsida; Poales; Poaceae
Exons: 3
Source: RefSeq, a predicted model, not a curated record